UCAGGGCCAGAACUGACGAUUGAAAUGAUCCUACAAGCAGCGCAGCCAAAACUGGAGCCAUUCCCCUUUGAAGAGCACACCGACCUGCCAGUUCAAGGCCUCGGUGGCAUCGGUGGUGGGGAGGUUGAAGACCCCACUGGUGGCAUGGGUGGGGAGGUUCAACAAGACCCCACUGGUGGCAUGGGUGGGGAGGUUCAACAAGACCCCACUGGUGGCAUGGGUGGGGAGGUUGAAGACCCUACCGGUGGCAUGGGUGGGGAGCUCCCUCCCACCGUGUAGUGAAACCUUUACUAUCUACAAUACCUUUUAUGUUGUGUGUCACAGAGAAACCUUUCUCUGCCUUAUUAACAAUAAAUAAAGCACAUUACUUGUGCGUGUUCUGGAAGAAAAAUCUCAGCGUUGUAGUCUACGAGAAGGGUUAAUCGUCUCUUUGUGAGAAUUGACGCGCCCUAAAAGUAAGCCGAUGAGGAUAAAUAAGAUGUGGUGCUACGGUACAUCAUGAGGAUUACUCAUCAAUAUUGGAUUAGUCAUCAGAAGGAUGCUUUUCCGACGAGCUGUAGUACAUCAGACCUUACAUACCUCCAUUAUGUGCAUAUGAGUGAAUGAAUAAAGUAUAUUGUGCUCAUUUAGUGAUUGUAUAUGGGUCCAUCAUUUUGGAUUUUGUCGUGGUCUUGGAAUACGGUGGGAAGGAUAUCUAGUGCAUGUUCACGAUUACCACUCGCAUGGUUU
This 729-nucleotide long non-coding RNA is filed under the name Triticum aestivum (bread wheat). RNAcentral describes it as "long non-coding RNA (TAES_LNC018720)". The record is from RNAcentral. Lineage: Eukaryota; Viridiplantae; Streptophyta; Magnoliopsida; Poales; Poaceae.